GUAGGUGGCAAGCGUUGUCCGGAAUUAUUGGGCGUAAAGCGCGCGCAGGCGGUUCUUUAAGUCUGAUGUGAAAGCCCACGGCUCAACCGUGGAGGGUCAUUGGAAACUGGAGAACUUGAGUACAGAAGAGGAAAGCGGAAUUCCACGUGUAGCGGUGAAAUGCGUAGAGAUGUGGAGGAACACCAGUGGCGAAGGCGGCUUUCUGGUCCGUAACUGACGCUGAGGCGCGAAAGCGUGGGGAGCAAACAGGAUUAGAUACCCUGGUAGUCCACGCCGUAAACGAUGAGUGCUAAGUGUUAGGGGGGUUUUCCGCCCCCCUUAGUGCUGCAGCUAACGCAUUAAGCACUCCGCCUGGGAGUACGGCCGCAAGGCUG
RNAcentral lists this ribosomal RNA (374 nucleotides) under uncultured organism. RNAcentral's name for it is "partial 16S ribosomal RNA". It matches the Rfam family "Bacterial small subunit ribosomal RNA", at positions 527 to 896 of the family's 1533-position model. The record is from RNAcentral.